GAGACUGGGAGCACUCACACUUAGAGGCUGUUAACAGGCAGUUGAGUAAGUGGCAUUUCUCCUGCUUUUCUGCUUUUAUUUUUUAUCUUCAGACAAUAUUUUAUGUAAGGAUGCGUGAGUACUCCCAGUCUCUUCCAAGGCCAAAUCAAAAAAGGGCUCAUCACAGUUUAUCUGGGAAGUGGCAACUAACAGGUGAGCCUGCCCAUAGAACACAAAGUGUCCUCAGCUGUGUGGAUGGAGCUGUGGUCAGUUCUCACUGCUCUGCCACUCUCCCUCAUUUUAAGGUAUGCUUGGCUUCUUGUGAAGUUCAGUAACUUCUUGAAAAUGCAAAAAAAAAAAUUAUACAGGGCAAACUUUGCAUUGGAUAAAUCAAGGUCCUUGCCAUUAGUAUUUUGGGGAUGUUGGUGGAUUUUUUAUUGUUGCUUUGUUUUGAUUUGUUUAUGGUAUGUGAAGAACUGCAACACUUUCUUGCAAUGAGACUUCUGAAUCCAGAUGACAGUGCUGUGGCUCAAACAGGGUUUUAAGGCCAAUAAUGGAAAUUACCUUGGGUUUUGGUGAUGGCCUUGGCAUCAAAUGAUGUGGAUGGCUUCGGGUAUGCAGCUUCUUAUAGGAUGAUCUUGGCAGGUUGCAUUUAUUCUGUAUCAACAACCCAGCCUCGGGUGUCAGCAUUCUGGAGAUUUUGUGGUCGGACAAAGUGUUCCCACCUUCUCCUUGUAUCACUUCCAGGAAAGAUUUUGGCAAAAUCCCCUGGAUCUGCACAGAACCUACAGAUUUAAGAUGUCUUUGCACAGCCAGAGGCUGAGAUCAUGGCUGUCUAACUACAGUUGGAUAUUUUCAUAUCUGCCAAGUUUAGCCUUAAAUAAAUAAAUGAAAAAA
Long non-coding RNA from Anas platyrhynchos (mallard), 876 nucleotides. RefSeq lists it as uncharacterized. The record is from RefSeq and is a predicted model, not a curated record. Lineage: Eukaryota; Metazoa; Chordata; Aves; Anseriformes; Anatidae.